RNAcentral lists this transfer RNA (16 nucleotides) under Gerrhonotus infernalis. RNAcentral's name for it is "partial tRNA-Leu". The record is from RNAcentral. Lineage: Eukaryota; Metazoa; Chordata; Lepidosauria; Squamata; Anguidae.
CUUUAAAGGAUAGUAG